RNAcentral lists this ribosomal RNA (450 nucleotides) under uncultured Glomeromycotina. RNAcentral's name for it is "SSU rRNA". It matches the Rfam family "Eukaryotic small subunit ribosomal RNA", at positions 569 to 1024 of the family's 1831-position model. The record is from RNAcentral. Lineage: Eukaryota; Fungi; Glomeromycota.
AGCAGCCGCGGUAAUUCCAGCUCCAAUAGCGUAUAUUAAAGUUGUUGCAGUUAAAAAGCUCGUAGUUGAAUUUCGGGAUCAAUAUGUCGGUCGUGCCUCGGUACGUACUGGCGUAAUUGGUUUCUCCCUUCUGAAGAACCUCGAUGUCAUUAAUUUGGUGUCGUGGGGAAUCAGGACUGUUACUUUGAAAAAAUUAGAGUGUUUAAAGCAGGCUCGCGCUUGAAUACAUUAGCAUGGAAUAAUGAAAUAGGACGUUUGAUUCUAUUUUGUUGGUUUCUAGGAUCGACGUAAUGAUUAAUAGGGAUAGUUGGGGGCAUUAGUAUUCAAUUGUCAGAGGUGAAAUUCUUGGAUUUAUUGAAGACUAACUACUGCGAAAGCAUUUGCCAAGGAUGUUUUCAUUAAUCAAGAACGAAAGUUAGGGGAUCGAAGACGAUCAGAUACCGUCGUAGU